This 769-nucleotide long non-coding RNA is filed under the name Malus domestica (apple). RNAcentral describes it as "long non-coding RNA (MDOM_LNC015104)". The record is from RNAcentral. Lineage: Eukaryota; Viridiplantae; Streptophyta; Magnoliopsida; Rosales; Rosaceae.
UAGGCAAACUGUUGUGUUGUAUUUGUCCCGUGCUGAAAACUUGAAAGGUAGUUGGGGACCGACCUUUGGAAAAAUAUAUCACCCCAUUUGUCAUCCAGCGAAUGUAAGGAUACCAUCGUCCUUCCUCUUUCCUACAAUAGAUGCUAUUGAGUUGACCUAAUUGUAUAAAACAUACAUCCCUAUGCUCCCUGUUUUUCCACUAGUUCAUCUAUGGCUCCCCGGACUCCGAGACUAGUCGUGCCAGUAGACCUGAGCAGAAAACCGUGGCAGCAAAAGCUACCCCUUCACAACCGUUGGCACCCUGACCUACCCCCGGUGGCGGAGGUUAAAACCGGUGAGGUCUUUAGAAUUGAGAUGGUAGACUGGACUGGAGGUACUAUUAAAGAUGAUGACUCUGCACUAGAUAUAAAGUCCAUAGACCUCUCAACAGUAAGUAUGGAUUUUAUCCUAUGUUAAAAAAUGGUACAUAUAGGAUCGAGUUAAGAUCUUGAGUCUACAAAUUAUUGAGAUCAUCAGUCACUACUCGUUUAUAAUGUAAUCAGUAGUAUGGAGAACAAGAACAUCUAGAAUGGUAAAUUAAUGUAAGAGUAAUAUGUUUCAAACUUGUGCAGGUUCAUUACCUCAGUGGGCCGAUUAGAAUUUCGGAUUCCGAUGGAAUUCCAGCACAGCCAGGCGAUCUUCUGGUGGUUGAGAUAUGCAACUUGGGUCCUCUCCCAGGAGAUGAAUGGGGUUUCACUGCGACAUUUGACAGAGAAAAUGGAGGGGGUUU